UUAUUCAAUUUUAAUUUUAACUCAAAUUACGGUAUUAAAUGGUUUGUGUACACUGUUCGAACCGCUCGGUCACUCAUUUCGUACGCACAUCGAACACGUGGUAAUAUCAUACGUACGGAUGGAAUACCUAUAUCCCGGUCAUGCGAACAUAUUUCAUGGUUUUGCAUUCGGUCACUUUUUUCGCACGAACGGUCACUUUGGGCGCGACAUCAACGGGUGAAAAAAUCGAUAUUUCGAUUCGUCCGUGUUAACAUUGUCGGCCGUUUUACGCGAAUAAUAAUUACGUAGAUCUGCGUUGCAGGUUUGAUUUCGUGGAAUUUCGGCGUCUCUCGUUAUAAUAUUAUUACUAUUAUUAUUAUUAUCUUAUUCGAGCCGAGGGUAUUAUUUCGAGGGAAGCUGCAGCUUAUAUUAAGUACCCUCCUAAUGUAUACACUGCAGAGGUUCUGGGGUACCGAUGUAACUGCGUUUACGUGAAAUCGCGGCUAAUACGCUGCUAAACGUCUCGACUAACUUGAAAUUAAACGGGCGCAUUGUAAUAAAUUAAAUGGUUUUGCAUGAUUUUCGUGUUGGAGUAUUCGUGUCGAAUAUUCACAAACCGGCGGUAGCGCCGCGUUGACGCGCGCACGGUCGCGUUCUAUCGAUUAUUCCAACGGAAUAUAAUUCAAUCGCGAACACGCGGGUACGGAAUAUUCCGGCAGGACGGACUCGGAUUGAAACGGCGAUUGUUGUUUUUUAUGAAGAUCGAAUGUGGGUACCGAAAUGCGCAUU
Cinara cedri is the source of this 768-nucleotide non-coding RNA. The record is from the annotation of a GenBank genome assembly. NCBI's taxonomy places the organism in Eukaryota, Metazoa, Arthropoda, Insecta, Hemiptera, Aphididae.